This 492-nucleotide ribosomal RNA is filed under the name uncultured bacterium. RNAcentral describes it as "partial 16S ribosomal RNA". It matches the Rfam family "Bacterial small subunit ribosomal RNA", at positions 29 to 507 of the family's 1533-position model. The record is from RNAcentral.
AGUGAACGCUGGCAGUAGGCCUAACACAUGCAAGUCGAACGGCAGCACAGUAAGAGCUUGCUCUUACGGGUGGCGAGUGGCGGACGGGUGAGGAAUACAUCGGAAUCUACUUUUUCGUGGGGGAUAACGUAGGGAAACUUACGCUAAUACCGCAUACGACCUACGGGUGAAAGCAGGGGAUCUUCGGACCUUGCGCGAUUGAAUGAGCCGAUGUCGGAUUAGCUAGUUGGCGGGGUAAAGGCCCACCAAGGCGACGAUCCGUAGCUGGUCUGAGAGGAUGAUCAGCCACACUGGAACUGAGACACGGUCCAGACUCCUACGGGAGGCAGCAGUGGGGAAUAUUGGACAAUGGGCGCAAGCCUGAUCCAGCCAUGCCGCGUGAGUGAAGAAGGCCUUCGGGUUGUAAAGCCCUUUUGUUGGGAAAGAAAAGAAGCAGGUUAAUACCCCGCUGUUUUGACGGUACCCAAAGAAUAAGCACCGGCUAACUUCGUG